Long non-coding RNA from Aegilops tauschii subsp. strangulata, 1163 nucleotides. RefSeq lists it as uncharacterized. Lineage: Eukaryota; Viridiplantae; Streptophyta; Magnoliopsida; Poales; Poaceae. The record is from RefSeq and is a predicted model, not a curated record.
GAGCGUUUAGACGGGCCGGCCUUUUUCUCCUAUUCCCUUCUCCUUCUCCGCUUCCUUCUUCGCUCUAUUCUGUUUCUUUCUUUAUCGUCUCCCUUCCUCGCUUCCUUCUUCUCUCUUUCUUCGCUAUCCACCGGCCGGCGUUUCCUCUUCGCGGAAUUGGUUGUCGCCAUGGAUGCCCAAGGUUCGUUGUGCCUCUCCCAUCCUUUCCAUGGCGGAUUAGCGAAGCAGGCCAAAAUGUUCCUGUACGGUCCAGUGCGACUUUCCAGUCACGGUUUUCUACUCUUCGUUGGGCCAAAGCUGUUGAUAAGAUGUCUCCUUUUUAGAGAAGCUUUAUGUCAGACUAAUUCAAACAUCUUCUGAAUGUGCGCGCACAUGUGAUUGUGCCCAUGGAUUUGCUGCAAUGGUUAGCAAAACAUAUGCGCUAUGGUUAAGUAGGCAUUUUCGAGCACAACAACAAAGUCAUUCAUAUCACCCGAGAUAUGGUUGACAUAUGCACUAUGGAAGAACAAUAUGGUCCGGUUGGCUACCUGAGUCUAGAAUUAGAGUAGAUCGAGUGAAAUUUGAAAGCAAAACCUGUCAAUCUGAACACUGGUUGGUGCUUGGAUGUGUUUCGUUCUCACAAAUUUGGCAGUUCUCAUGUGAUGAUGUUCUUCCAUAGUUAGUGAAGUUUGGUCCCCAAAUAGUAUGUGCAAGGUGAUUCAUAGUGUUAUUUGGUUAAGCAAUUUUCCUUAUUCCGCAUGGGUGCUAUUUUUUCAAUCAUUCUCAAUCUGAACAUGAUAUAUGUCUUCCAUAUGCAGUGAAGUUUGGUCCCAUAUUUUUAUGAGAAAAGGUGACAGAGUGAUGUUUCCUUUUGUGCUAGGGAUUCCGCAUAUUCAAAUGAAUCUCAUGAGGAACAUAUUUUCCUUGGAAAUACAGUAGUGGUGCACAGAGACAUGGAUGAACAGAUGUACAAGUGGACAAGAAUUACAAAUGCAAAGAGAGCCAACAAAUAUAUGCCCACUCGUGAAACUACUUUUUUCUUUGAGAACAUUUAUUCCAUUUUGUAGCAAAUUGUGCCAAAACAAUGCUUUUGCUGAUUCUUUUUGUCUCUGAAUAUUGUUCAACACAAGAAUUUACCCUUCACUUUAUUCUUUAAUUAUAUAUAUACACUGAACAUUUGUUUU